CGACACUAAACGUGUUAGGAACAGGAGGAGAACCUCAUCCUAACACGAGCCAAGUCGAAGGCUCGAUUAUUUUAAGAUCGGAUGGGGAGAGAGGCCCUUAUAACGGCCCUUAUGUGCCCCCACAGCCAUGUUAGGAAUAGGAGGAGAACCUCAUCCUAACAUGAGCAAAGUCAAAGGCUCAGUUAUUUAAAGACUGGAUGGGGGGAGAGGCCCUUACAACGGUCCUUAUGUGCCCCCAUAGCCAUGUUAGGAAUAGGAGGAGAACCUCAUCCUAACAUGAGUAAAGUCGAAGGUCC
RNAcentral lists this long non-coding RNA (296 nucleotides) under Elaeis guineensis (African oil palm). Its description in RNAcentral is "long non-coding RNA (EGUI_LNC037902)". The record is from RNAcentral. Lineage: Eukaryota; Viridiplantae; Streptophyta; Magnoliopsida; Arecales; Arecaceae.